RNAcentral lists this long non-coding RNA (814 nucleotides) under Numida meleagris (helmeted guineafowl). Its description in RNAcentral is "lncRNA (ENSNMEG00000008366.1)". The record is from RNAcentral. Lineage: Eukaryota; Metazoa; Chordata; Aves; Galliformes; Numididae.
GUGUGGUAGGAAAGUACUUUUAAUAGAAAUAUAAAAUGAUUUUAAAGGACCUUGAGAUAAAAAAAGAAUUCUUUUGGCUUUUCAAGUUUUUCUACCUCUUAUGUGUUGACAACAUUAUUGGUGCCUAACAAUGGAAAAUAAUGAACUGCGAUUUUAUGUCAUGUUUUGUUAAAUAAUUUAAAGUAAGCAUUCAUUUUUUGGGGCUUUUUAGAAGCUUUAGAUGUUUUGAGGAAACUCAAUUUUGUCACAACUGAAUUAGAUGUAAGAUCUGGUCUGUUAGUUGUCCUAUCUUGCUUGUGAUCAGAACCAGACUGUUUGCUUAUAAAAGUAAGAGACUGAUAAUCGGACCAGAGCGUUGUCUCAGCACAGCCUAUCACAAAAUGAAUGAAGUGAAACUUGAUUUGAACGGUGGUUAAUUAAAUGAUCCCUGCAUGUAGCCAUACAUUAUCUGCUCCUCUUGGAAUCACCUUGGCCACAGGGAGAGGAGACUUUGAAUUUGUCUACAUCAGCAUGAAAUUCUUCACAGUGGGACAGAGUCAGCAGACUGAAGCUGAAGGCCUUACAUCUAUGGUAUGUGCCAUUCAGGGCUUUUUCUUUGGAUUAGAUUUUAGUCUUGUCUUCUGGAUUGAAUGUUGCUAUCAUUUAUGCUAUGUAUUUAUAUUUAUAUUAGGGAAUUGAUAUUGGAUGGUGCUUUUUUUUUUCAUUUUGUUUAUUUUACACCUGGAGCAGAGCUUUCAGUUUGAUUUUCUAUUGAUGGAAUCUAAUUUGUGCCCACCAAAGCCAUCCAGUGUGAAAAACCAAUGCACAAUAAAUG